GGAAUGGUACGGCUCAGUGAUAGAGUGCGUGCUUAGCAUGCACAAGGUCCUAGGUUCAAUCCCCAGUACCUCCA
Molecule: transfer RNA, 74 nt
Organism: Camelus ferus (Wild Bactrian camel)
Lineage: Eukaryota; Metazoa; Chordata; Mammalia; Artiodactyla; Camelidae
Rfam family: tRNA
About the family: Transfer RNA (tRNA) molecules are approximately 80 nucleotides in length.
Source: Rfam